Molecule: ribosomal RNA, 399 nt
Filed under: uncultured bacterium
Lineage: Bacteria
Description: bacterial SSU rRNA
Rfam family: Bacterial small subunit ribosomal RNA
Source: RNAcentral
GAUGAACGCUGGCGGCGUGCCUAACACAUGCAAGUCGAGCGGAGAUUUGGGAAGUAGUAAUACGGAACAAAUCUUAGCGGCGGACGGGUGAGUAACACGUGAGGAACCUACCUUCAACUGGGGAAUAACACCGUGAAAACGGUGCUAAUACCGCAUAACGUUGCACCAUGGCAUCGUGGAGCAACCAAAGGAGCAAUCCGGUUAAAGAUGGCCUCGCGUCCGAUUAGUUAGUUGGUGGGGUAAUGGCCUACCAAGACAGCGAUCGGUAGCCGGACUGAGAGGUCGAACGGCCACAUUGGAACUGAGAUACGGUCCAGACUCCUACGGGAGGCAGCAGUGGGGAAUAUUGGGCAAUGGGCGAAAGCCUGACCCAGCAACGCCGCGUGAAGGAAGAAGGCC